UGCAAUGGCAACAAGCCCAUGGGGAGUA
RNAcentral lists this non-coding RNA (28 nucleotides) under Mus musculus (house mouse). The record is from RNAcentral. Lineage: Eukaryota; Metazoa; Chordata; Mammalia; Rodentia; Muridae.